Phrynosoma platyrhinos (Desert horned lizard) is the source of this 73-nucleotide non-coding RNA. NCBI's taxonomy places the organism in Eukaryota, Metazoa, Chordata, Lepidosauria, Squamata, Phrynosomatidae. The record is from the annotation of a GenBank genome assembly.
AGCCAGCAUGGUGUAAUGGUUUGAAUGUUGGACUGCAACUCUGGAGACAAGGGUUCGAUUCCCAACUUAGCUA